CCUACGGGGGGCUGCAGUGAGGAAUAUUGGGCAAUGGGGGCAACCCUGACCCAGCCAUGCCGCGUGAGUGAAGAAGGUCUUCGGAUUGUAAAGCUCUUUCGGACGUGACGAUGAUGACGGUAGCGUCUAAAGAAGCACCGGCAAACUUCGUGCCAGCAGCCGCGGGAAUACGAAGGGUGCGAGCGUUGUUCGGAAUUAAUGGGCGUAAAGGGAGUGUAGGCGGAUAUGUAAGAUAGCGGUGAAAUGCCUGGGGUCAACCCCGGAACUGCCAUUAUGACUAUGUAUCUAGAGUAAGGGAGAGGAUAGCGGAAUACCCAGUGUAGAGGUGAAAUGCGUAGAUAUUGGGUAGAACACCGGUGGCGAAGGCGGCUAUCUGGCCAUUCACUGACGCUGAGGCUCGAAAGCAUGGGUAUCAAACAGGAUUAGAUACCCGGGUAGUC
Molecule: ribosomal RNA, 440 nt
Filed under: uncultured bacterium
Lineage: Bacteria
Description: partial 16S ribosomal RNA
Rfam family: Bacterial small subunit ribosomal RNA
Source: RNAcentral